AACGAACGCUGGCGGCAGGCUUAACACAUGCAAGUCGAGCGCCCCGCAAGGGGAGCGGCAGACGGGGGAGUAACGCGUGGGAACAUACCCUUUCCUGCGGAGAAGCUCCGGGAAACUGGAAUUAAUCUCGCACACGCGCCACGGGGGACAGAUUUAUCGGGGAAGGAUUGGCCCGCGUUGGAUUAGCUAGUUGGUGGGGUAAAGGCCUACCAAGGCGACGAUCCAUAGCUGGUCUGAGAGGAUGAUCAGCCAAAUUGGGACUGAGACACGGCCCAAACUCCUACGGGAGGCAGCAGUGGGGAAUAUUGGACAAUGGGCGCAAGCCUGAUCCAGCCAUGCCGCGUGAGUGAUGAAGGCCAUAGGGUUGUAAAGCUCUUUCACCGGAGAAGAUAAUGACGGUAUCCGGAGAAGAAGCCCCGGCUAACUUCGUGCCAGCCGCCGCCGUAA
RNAcentral lists this ribosomal RNA (447 nucleotides) under uncultured bacterium. RNAcentral's name for it is "partial 16S ribosomal RNA". It matches the Rfam family "Bacterial small subunit ribosomal RNA", at positions 29 to 523 of the family's 1533-position model. The record is from RNAcentral.